GAUGAAGAACGUAGCGAAAUGCGAUAAGUAAUGCGAAUUGCAGAAUUUCCGUGAGUCAUCGAAUCUUUGAACGCACAUUGCGCCCGCCGGCAUUCCGGCGGGCAUGCCUGUUCGAGCGUCAUUUCAACCCUCAAGCCCUCUUCAAUGCUAGGCUUGGUGUUGGGGGAUCGCCCACCUGCCCUGCGCCCAGCGCGCAGGUAAGGAGGCGACCCCUGAAAACUAGUGGCGGUUCCGCCCGCGGCAGCCCUUGCGUAGUAGCACAAACCUCGCACGUGGAGCCCGGCGGCAGCCCUGCCGUUAAACACCCCCCCACAAAACUCUGUUUUUGUGUUCCAUGAGUUGACCUCGGAUCAGGUAGGAAUACCCGCUGAACUUAAGCAUAUCAAUAAGCGGAGGA
RNAcentral lists this unclassified non-coding RNA (397 nucleotides) under soil metagenome. RNAcentral's name for it is "partial contains 5.8S ribosomal RNA, internal transcribed spacer 2, and large subunit ribosomal RNA". The stretch from base 1 to 121 matches the Rfam family "5.8S ribosomal RNA", at positions 35 to 154 of the family's 154-position model. The record is from RNAcentral.